ACUCAAAUGAAUUGACGGGGACUCGCACAAGCGGUGGAACGCGUGGCUUAAUUCGUCGAUCCGCGAAAAACCUUACCAGGGCUAGAAACCAAGCUGCAUCCCACCCGAAAGGGAGGGAGCCUUCGAGGGUGCUUGGCAGGUGAUGCAUGGUUGUCGUCAGUUCGUGGCUUGAGCUGUUCCCUUCAGUGGGGUAACGAACGCAACCCUCGUUGUCUGUUAUAUAUGUCAGGCGAGACUGCCCCCUCACGGGGGAGGAAGGUGAGGAUGACGCCAAAUCAGCAUGUCCCUUGAUGCCCUGGGCUGCACACACGUUACAAUGGCCGGUACAGAAGGAUGCAAUACCGUAAGGUGGAGCAAAUCCCCAAAACCGGCCCCAGUACGGAUUGAGGUCUGCAAUCGACCUCAUGAAGCCGGAAUCGCUAGUAAUCCUGGAUCAGCACGCCAGGGUGAAUACGUUCUCGAGUCUUGUACACACCGCCCGU
RNAcentral lists this ribosomal RNA (482 nucleotides) under uncultured bacterium. Its description in RNAcentral is "partial 16S ribosomal RNA". It matches the Rfam family "Bacterial small subunit ribosomal RNA", at positions 899 to 1397 of the family's 1533-position model. The record is from RNAcentral.